Molecule: ribosomal RNA, 539 nt
Filed under: uncultured archaeon
Lineage: Archaea
Description: bacterial SSU rRNA
Rfam family: Archaeal small subunit ribosomal RNA
Source: RNAcentral
CGGGGUGCACCAGGCGCGAAACCUCUACAAUGCACGAAAGUGUGAUAGGGGGAUCCUAAGUGCUUAUGUUUUACAUAAGCUUUUGCCAAGCGUAAAUAACUUGGAGAAUAAGUGGUGGGCAAGACUGGUGCCAGCCGCCGCGGUAACACCAGCGCCACGAGUGGGAAUCGCAUAUUUGGCCUAAAGCGUCCGUAGCCGGCCUUGUAAAUUCUUUGUGAAAUCGAUAAGCCUAACUUAUCGGCGUGCAGAGAAGACUGCUUGGCUCGGAAUCGGGAGGGGUCGGGAGUAUUCGAUGGGGAGCGGUAAAAUGCGAUAAUCCAUUGAAGACUACCUGUGGCGAAGGCGCCCGACCAGAACGAAUUCGACGGUGAGGGACGAAAGCUGGGGGAGCGAUCCGGAUUAGAUACCCGAGUAGUCCCAGCUGUAAACUCUGCGAGCAAGGUGUUGCGCAAUUUUUGGGAUUGCGCAGUAUCGAAGCGAAGGCGUUAAGCUCGCCGCCUGGGGAGUAUGGUCGCAAGACGGAAACUUAAAGGAAUUGG